UCCUGAGCACUGAAAUCUGUCUCAGUCUGCUUCCUGAAAAAUCCAAACUCAUGCAGUUGGAGCCUGGGGAAAUCUGACAAGUGAGAGACCAGACUGGGUUUGAAGCUGGCCCAUUCACUGGCAAGACCACAGGUGUCAAUUUCAAAGGCACUCCCUAAUAAACAUCCUGGAUGCUAAACUCUGACUCAGAGGCUCCUUCCUGUGGAGUCAAAGCUCUGAAGACGCCCUGUUGCCCCUGUAAUGUGUUUUUCUUACUAUGAGAACGCUCACAGCAUUCCAGAAAAACCAUCUAAACUGGGAAUUUAACACAUUUGCAGCUGAUCUCCAGACUCCAUUGAAGCCGUCGAAGGUCUUAAUAGGAGAGGCCCUAUUUGGAGGUGUUGCCUUGUUGGAGUUGG
This 398-nucleotide small RNA is filed under the name Rattus norvegicus (Norway rat). Its description in RNAcentral is "uncharacterized LOC102551227". Lineage: Eukaryota; Metazoa; Chordata; Mammalia; Rodentia; Muridae. The record is from RNAcentral.